Bactrocera neohumeralis is the source of this 722-nucleotide long non-coding RNA. RefSeq lists it as uncharacterized. Lineage: Eukaryota; Metazoa; Arthropoda; Insecta; Diptera; Tephritidae. The record is from RefSeq and is a predicted model, not a curated record. The transcript has 3 exons.
GGAAUUCCAAGCUAGAUAGAGCAUUGCGUGACAUUGGGUUUACUCAGUGUAAGAGUGAACGCUGUCUUUAUAAGCAAGACAUAAAAGUUGGCAACUCAGUUUUAAACGCAUCAGAUGUUUAAAGCGUGCAUCAAUUUUAUUUGGUAUGCAGAACAGACAAUGGCAGAAGAAAAAAAGUGGACACACGAGCGGAAGAAAUUAUUAAUAACAACAAGGCUUCGCCAUGAAGCAGAAUUUUCCGGCAAAAAAAGAAAGAGAAAUACAAUUUGGGAGUCGAUUUUAAGGGAAAUGAGGGACGUUGAGAGCUCGUUUCCAUUUUCAAGAGAUGAAAUAACGAGGUGUUUUCUCAACAUAAUGGGGACUUAUAAGCGUAUAAAGAAAAGAAGCAGUACUUCUGGCGAAGCAGCAUCAAAUUGGGAAUAUUUUAGUGAAAUCGAUGAAGUGUUUGGGAGUCGUUCUAGUAUUGAAGUGCCACUAGAAAUGACCGAGUAUUCUAUAAUUUCAUUGGAAAGUCCUUCCACCACAGCAACAAUUGACGGAAUGGAUGUAACACCUACAACAUCAGUUAAAAGAAAGAGAAAUGACGUAAUCGAAUUCUUAGAGAAAGAAUCCGAAAAGGAAAACGAAGCCAUAAAUAAGCUUAUAAAAAUAGAAAGUGAAAGACUUGAAGUUGAAAAAGAAAAACUUAAAGAAUUAAAGCAACUACGGGCUUUAUUUGAAAA